Molecule: long non-coding RNA, 612 nt
Organism: Polypterus senegalus (gray bichir)
Lineage: Eukaryota; Metazoa; Chordata; Cladistia; Polypteriformes; Polypteridae
Exons: 3
Source: RefSeq, a predicted model, not a curated record
GUGCCAUUAGUAGACGGGGUGACAUUUAAGGGCCCCAGAUAUAUUUAGCAAAUGCUGUGGCUCAGGUGGGAGCCAGCCUACUGUUUCCUGUUGCCGACAUUUGAGAGCUGUACUUAAAAAAAGACCCCAGGCUUCUUUCAGGCUCAAAGAAAGGAAAGGAUAUAUAUUAGAGACAUCGCCCAGUCAUUCUCCAGCAAUACAUCAUAGUCCUCAGACCUCCCAGUGCUUUUUACUAUCAGUUUUCCGCAUUGUCAAAGGUGCAAUGAUUCUAUAGACAACAGAGGCUCAUUGACGUCAAUGCAGGCUGAUCAGCAUGCAGCGCAUGAAGUGGGUCAGCACUGAUAAUUCAGCCCCGCCAGAGCUGCGCUCUACCUUUCCAUUGUUGGAGAUUCCUGCUCAGUUGCUGCCUGUAACUCCUUCGUUUCAAGGUAAUAUUGGAGAUCUCCAUAUGCAAGGGAGCGGAUGAAGACUUGCAGGACAGAUGCCAUGAGGGGCCUGAGUGUUGUCACCACCAUAUUCUGUAGAAAAUACAUCUCGCAGCUGGUUCAGCUACACAAGCGUGCCUCUUAAAUUGUAUCACGUAGGGAAGGACUGAGUAAAUCAGAAGUGUUU